UGGCUGAGCAUCUUCGCAGCCCCGCCCAGCCCCUUGAGUCUCAUCACGCUGGUGACUCUCUGGCAUACUGUCUCUUCUGUUGUUUCUAUGUGCGCGGCGGAGAGAGAGGGGCCGGGUGUGGGCCUGUCCGAAAGCAGCAGCACGUCUUUCUUCGCCUCCUUCUCAUCAAUACCGAUUAAUUGUCUUAUCAUUAACACAUCAGCUGCGCGGGGGUAGCUGGCCAGGAUCUAGCUGGAGGCUAACGUCAGGUAGACCCUCAGCAC
Long non-coding RNA from Hippocampus comes (tiger tail seahorse), 263 nucleotides. RefSeq lists it as uncharacterized. Lineage: Eukaryota; Metazoa; Chordata; Actinopteri; Syngnathiformes; Syngnathidae. The record is from RefSeq and is a predicted model, not a curated record. The transcript has 3 exons.